GAGGGUACAGCUCAGCGGUAGAGUGCGUGCUUAGCAUGCACCAGGUCCUAGGUUCAGUCCCCGGUACCUCCA
RNAcentral lists this transfer RNA (72 nucleotides) under Camelus ferus (Wild Bactrian camel). It matches the Rfam family "tRNA". Rfam says of the family: Transfer RNA (tRNA) molecules are approximately 80 nucleotides in length. Their secondary structure includes four short double-helical elements and three loops (D, anti-codon, and T loops). The record is from Rfam by way of RNAcentral. Lineage: Eukaryota; Metazoa; Chordata; Mammalia; Artiodactyla; Camelidae.